Long non-coding RNA from Nerophis lumbriciformis (worm pipefish), 912 nucleotides. RefSeq lists it as uncharacterized. Lineage: Eukaryota; Metazoa; Chordata; Actinopteri; Syngnathiformes; Syngnathidae. The record is from RefSeq and is a predicted model, not a curated record.
AUCACCUGUGACGUCACUUUACUUUAGUCACUGUCACAUUGAACGAUGAAAAAACACUCAGAACACACCACAAAUGUCAAUCAAAUCUAAUCACUCAUAACCUGUGCGACAUGAAGGAACACUGCAGUACCUUCAGUGGCCACACAGGCUGACUAACGUGUGUUAGCCAUUGGGAGCCAGAGGGGCGCUGUUGUGAUCAUCUCUGCUUGAGCCGUCUCCAGUUCAACACACAAGACCUAAGUCUCGUGACACAGGCACCUCCCGUGACCUACGGUGGCCUCGGAUGGACAAACAAGGUUUAUGUUCUCGUAGUGCGUUUGUGGGACGCUGCCAGGAGAGAGGGGGAGAUGGGAUUUGUGCAGGUGUACCUAAUGUCGUGGCCGGGAGUGGUACUCACAUCUCAGGGUAAUAGUAGCCUGGCCCCGGGCCUUCAUCCUUCAUCACCUCGCCUCUCUUCGCCGUCAUGUUGCCAAAGUGGACGCCUUUGUACUUUUGGGCGCAACUCUUCUCUGCCUGGAGACGAGACGAUGAAGAGGUUGAGGACGGUGAGAAGGGGAGCAGGCAGACAAAAAAAAAAAAAAAAAGGAAGAAGAUUGUGGAGGUGGCGUGAAUGACAGGGGAAGCGAUAAGGAGAAGACAAAUGGAUGGCGAAAAAGUUCCAUUGCUUCGUUCGGGUCUUAUCUCCUUGUGGUGAGGUGAAGUGGAAAGUGAAUGAGAAGUGAAGUUGAGCCACAUUAUGUCACCCUCGUCCUGUCCUUUCGCUCUAGUUCACAGCCUUUGGAAGACUUUAACUCAAAUCUUACGAGUGUGUAAAUGUGCUCAACCCCACCCUAUUUAUCUAUGUGGUUUAUCUUUUCACUGCCAUGCUGAUGACACCAACUCUAUGUCAAUGAAACAGCUGCAUCCCCUCUG